This is an unclassified non-coding RNA of Pongo abelii (Sumatran orangutan), 117 nucleotides long. It matches the Rfam family "Metazoan signal recognition particle RNA". Rfam says of the family: The signal recognition particle (SRP) is a universally conserved ribonucleoprotein. NCBI's taxonomy places the organism in Eukaryota, Metazoa, Chordata, Mammalia, Primates, Hominidae. The record is from Ensembl.
GCCAGGCGUGGUGACUCACGCCUGUAAUCCCAGCACUUUGGGAGGCCGAGGCGGGUGGGUCACUUGAGGUCAGGAGUUGGAGACUAGCCUGACCAACACAGUGAAACCCCGUCUCUA